GGUAAAAGUUCUACCCUAUCUAAAGCACAUCUAGGGACUGAAUUUCAGAAAACAACUAAAAUAGGGAGUCGACUCCCUAACAAAUAACAACUAAGGAUGAUUUUCAACAAAUGCGAUUGGAUUUCUGGAUUAGCAGAAUCGGAACACACACACAUUAUCAGGUAUCCCUAACCUAGGAAGUAGAUGUUUUAAAAAGUGACGAUAAACAGCAGUAUUUGAAGAAAACUUCAUACAGUGGUUAGAGACAAGUGGAAAACACUGCACAUACUUACAGUAUGGAACUCCAAUUCUGAUAUUUUCUCUGGCUGACCUGAUCCAAAAAAAUAAACCCGAAUAAUAUGAUCCGUGCUUCCUGUGGCCAGAAACAUGCCACCUGAGGAGUAGGAGCAAACAUUUACUAUGGAGAUAAUGGCAGCAAAGACCUCUCCUUCCAACAUGAAACUGGAUCUCUUACACUGUAGGUAAUUCCUAACAACAACAAAAUUCUAUUUUGUGAAUCCCUCUUGGAAAUUUCGAAGUUUCAUGAAAAUAAAAAGUUUGAGAGGUAAAGUUCA
Long non-coding RNA from Leopardus geoffroyi (Geoffroy's cat), 554 nucleotides. RefSeq lists it as uncharacterized. Lineage: Eukaryota; Metazoa; Chordata; Mammalia; Carnivora; Felidae. The record is from RefSeq and is a predicted model, not a curated record. The transcript is spliced from 4 exons.